UUCGAUUAAGCCAUGCGAGUCGAGAGUCCUCGGGACUCGGCGUACCGCUCAGUAACACGUGGGUAACCUGCCCUAUGCUGGGGAAUAACCUCGGGAAACUGAGAAUAAUGCCCCAUAGCCCACUACGCCUGGAACGGUGAGUGGGUCAAAGCCCCGGCGGCAUAGGAUGGGCCUGCGCCGUAUCAGGUUGUAGGGGGUGUAAAGUACCCUCUAGCCAUCAACGCGUACGGGUGUUGGGAGACAUUGCCCGGAGAUGGAUUCUGAGACACGAAUCCAGACCCUACGGGGUGCAGCAGGCGCGAAAACUUGGCAAUGCGAGAAAUCGUGACCAGGGAACUCCAAGUGCGUAGGGUAAGACCUACGCUUUUCUUGACUCUUCAAAGGUCUUGGAAUAAGGGGUGGGUAAGGACGGUGCCAGCCGCCGCGGUAAUACCGGCGCCUCAAGUGGUAGUCGCUUUUAUUGGGCCUAAAACGUCCGUAGCCGGUCUGGUGCAUUCGUGGGUAAAUCAACCCGCUCAACGGGUUGAAUUCUGCGAGCACGGCCAGACUUGGGACCGGGAGAGGUGUGGGGUACUCUCAGGGUAGGGGUAAAAUCCUGUCAUCCUGAGAGGACCACCUGUUGCGAAGGCGCCACACUAGAACGGAUCCGACGGUCAGGGACGAAACCUAGGGGCACGAACCGGAUUAGAUACCCGGGUAGUCCUAGGUGUAAACGCCGUGAACUUGGUGUCGGGGAUUYGUAAUGGGUCCCCGGUGCCGGAGUGAAGAUGUUAAGUUCACUGCCUGGGGAGUACGGUCGCAAGGCUGAAACUUAAAGGAAUUGGCGGGGGAGCACUGCAACGGGAGGAGCGUGCGGUUUAAUUGG
Molecule: ribosomal RNA, 865 nt
Filed under: uncultured archaeon
Lineage: Archaea
Description: bacterial SSU rRNA
Rfam family: Archaeal small subunit ribosomal RNA
Source: RNAcentral